UUCUGACAUUGCUGUUCUUCAGCUUCUAGCCAGCAGCAGAAUCCUCUGGAGUGCUUGUUAACACCAGACUGCUGACCUCCAACCCCGACAUUCUUGGCUGCCCCUAUACUUGUACCUGGGAGCCCUUGUCCAUUGCUGCAUCCUGCAAGAUCCAGGACAAUGUCUGCAGUGUCCUCCAAAGCCAAGGGCCUGGCCCCAUGGUGGUCUCCUGAGUUCAUGGUAAGAAGAUGACAAAAUCACCUCUCAUAUUUAUGUCUUUACACUUAUAUUAAAUUUAUGGAGACACACA
Molecule: long non-coding RNA, 289 nt
Organism: Mastomys coucha (southern multimammate mouse)
Lineage: Eukaryota; Metazoa; Chordata; Mammalia; Rodentia; Muridae
Exons: 2
Source: RefSeq, a predicted model, not a curated record